UGGUUCUGGCAUCGAUGAAGAACGCAGCGAAAUGCGAUAAGUAAUGUGAAUUGCAGAAUUCCGUGAAUCAUCGAAUCUUUGAACGCACAUUGCGCCCGCCAGUACUCUGGCGGGCAUGCCUGUCCGAGCGUCAUUUCAACCCUCGAGCCCCCGGGCUUGGUGUUGGGGAUCGGCCCGCCCCCGCGGCGCGCCGUCCCCCAAAUUCAGUGGCGGCCUCGCUGCAGCCUCCCCUGCGUAGUAGCUAACACCUCGCAGCGGGAACUCAGCGCGGCCACGCCGUUAAACCCCCCACUUCUGAACGGUUGACCUCGGAUCAGGUAGGACUACCCGCUGA
Molecule: unclassified non-coding RNA, 334 nt
Filed under: uncultured fungus
Lineage: Eukaryota; Fungi
Description: partial contains 5.8S ribosomal RNA and internal transcribed spacer 2
Rfam family: 5.8S ribosomal RNA (bases 1-133)
Source: RNAcentral